Molecule: long non-coding RNA, 800 nt
Filed under: Equus asinus (donkey)
Lineage: Eukaryota; Metazoa; Chordata; Mammalia; Perissodactyla; Equidae
Description: lncRNA (ENSEASG00005029122.1)
Source: RNAcentral
GAGCUUUCCAUGAAGUUUAGCUGCUUCAUGCUGAGAGUGUGAUGAGGAGAGUGGAGUUGCAGCCUGGGGUGUGAAGUGGAAAUCCUGUCACCCACAGUGGUGGUCUGCACAUGUCCACGUCUUUUCUGAAAUGGAGGGUUAAUCUCCCUAAGAGCUUGGAGCCAGGGUGGCCAUGAGGAAGACCUUGGGAAGAUGGAACGUGCCGUUGGAGCUUGGCCCAGAUGUUGCUCUUAAAGGAUAGAACAGUCCUGGACAAAGACCAGGCCAAGGCGUAUAUUCCAGAGAGGUGUUUUUUUUUAAAAAAAGAAAAAAAGACGGAAAAAAGGAAUAUCCUCCUCCUUUAUGCCAUUAUCAUCAUCCUUCAAUUCCCUGCUGAAAUGUUACAGUCUUCCUAUGGAACGCUGUGGAAGAAAUAGUCUCUCACUACCUCAAACAUCUCAACUUUUAGACCCCCUCAUGGUACUACAUGCUAUCUACUAGAAUUAUAAACGGGUUAUCAUAUAUAAAUAAUUUAGCUCUGCAUAUUCCGUAGCCAGGACCUUGUAAAUGUUGAAUGAACUAUGUGGCUGAACUGUAUUACUAACUGAGUGUGAUGGUUAAUUUUAUGUGUCAAUUGGCCUGGACCACGGGGUCCUCAGAUAUUUGGUCAAACAUUAUUCUGGGUGUUUUUGUGAGGAUGUUUUUGGAUGAGAUUAACAUUUAAAUCAAUAAACUGAGUAAAGCGGAUUGCCCUUCCUAAUACAGGUGGGCUUCAUCGACAUGCUUUUUCUUGCCUUCAGACUUGAACUGAAACAUUGGCU